GACGAACGCUGGCGGCGUGCCUAAUACAUGCAAGUAGAACGCUGAAGCGAGGAGCUUGCUCUUCUUGGAUGAGUUGCGAACGGGUGAGUAACGCGUAGGUAACCUGCCUUGUAGCGGGGGAUAACUAUUGGAAACGAUAGCUAAUACCGCAUAACAAUGGAUGACACAUGUCAUUUAUUUGAAAGGGGCAAUUGCUCCACUACAAGAUGGACCUGCGUUGUAUUAGCUAGUAGGUGAGGUAAUGGCUCACCUAGGCGACGAUACAUAGCCGACCUGAGAGGGGGAGGGGAGAAAGGGGAAAUGAGGCACGGUCGAGACAACGACGGGAGGCAGAAGUCGGGAAGGUGGAGAAAGGGGGGGAAGCCUGACGGAGAAAGGCAGGGGAAGAGAGGAAGGGUGAGGGAGAGUAAAAAGCGGUUAGGAGGGAAGAAAAAAGGUGGAAGUAAAUAUGCACGUCGGGACGGUAGAUAAUAAGAAAGGCACGGCUAACUACGGG
RNAcentral lists this ribosomal RNA (496 nucleotides) under uncultured bacterium. Its description in RNAcentral is "partial 16S ribosomal RNA". The stretch from base 15 to 379 matches the Rfam family "Bacterial small subunit ribosomal RNA", at positions 42 to 397 of the family's 1533-position model. The record is from RNAcentral.